RNAcentral lists this long non-coding RNA (214 nucleotides) under Homo sapiens (human). RNAcentral describes it as "non-protein coding lnc-COX7B-5:1". The record is from RNAcentral. Lineage: Eukaryota; Metazoa; Chordata; Mammalia; Primates; Hominidae.
CAGUUUUCUUAUAAACCAGAGAAGAAGUCUGAAGAAACAACAGAUUAUGGCAGAAAAACUCAGACUGUCUACAAAUUUACAAAUGAUGCAUUGGUUCAACACCAGGAACGGAAUGGGAAGGAAAGCACAAUGAGAAAAGUGAAAGAUGGAAAAUUAGCGGUAGAAUGUGUUAUGUACAAUGCCACCUCUCCUCGAAUCCAUAAAAAAGUGUAAU